This 312-nucleotide long non-coding RNA is filed under the name Ananas comosus (pineapple). Its description in RNAcentral is "long non-coding RNA (ACOM_LNC040235)". The record is from RNAcentral. Lineage: Eukaryota; Viridiplantae; Streptophyta; Magnoliopsida; Poales; Bromeliaceae.
AUCCACUCGAACAGAGUCUCUUUUAUAUUUGCACGGCGUACCAACAAUACAACAGGAUCUCAACUACAAUCUGUAAUUACCAAUCAACAACCAAUUCAUGAUAUGUAUUUUCAUACAGCUAACAAUCCUUAGAAAUGAUGCAUGCCUCUAAGCACUCCUUAGGCGCUGGAUGAUGCAAUGCACAGUACAACAAUCAUCCUAUUUAAAAGUGCUCCCUACCCGGAAGCUUUAUUUUUAAAAUCUAAUUCAUUCAUUCAUGAAAACCAUUCGAAAAUUUUUUGAAAACUGUUUCCCACACGGAAACUCUAUUUU